RNA transcript from Stegostoma tigrinum, 480 nucleotides. It is a transcript of the gene named sarcoplasmic/endoplasmic reticulum calcium ATPase regulator DWORF-like, with no coding region annotated. The record is from RefSeq and is a predicted model, not a curated record. The transcript is spliced from 3 exons. NCBI's taxonomy places the organism in Eukaryota, Metazoa, Chordata, Chondrichthyes, Orectolobiformes, Stegostomatidae.
AUUCAGCCUGAUCCUCCAAUGCAGUGCUGGGUGAAUGCUGCACUGUUAGAGAUGCUGUCUUUUGGAUGAGACAUUAGAGUGAGUCUCAGUAGCCUUCUCAGAUAGAUGCAAAAGGUCCCAUGGCACAAUUUUAGACAGAAAUAGCGACAGCGUCCCUAGUGUUACAGUAAAAGAUUACUCCUCAACCCAAAUCACAAAAGCAAAUUACCAGGUCAUUACUACUUGCUGCUUCGAUGAGCUUGCUGCCCACAUAUUGGUGCUGCAUUUCCUGCAAUUGAUCAGCAACUGCACUACAUUGAUAUGUAUUGGGACAUCUUAUGUUCAUGAAAUGCAUUGUAUGAAUGUAAGUUUGUUUAGAUUUGGAGGACCAGCGUUACAUUGUCCCUGCACUUCUCCUGGUGGGAUGGAUCGUGGGCUGUUCUGUGGUCGUUUAUUACAUUUUCUCCUGAGAGUGUUGGACACAGCAGCAGAAGAAAAACG